Molecule: ribosomal RNA, 435 nt
Filed under: uncultured bacterium
Lineage: Bacteria
Description: partial 16S ribosomal RNA
Rfam family: Bacterial small subunit ribosomal RNA
Source: RNAcentral
AACGAACGCUGGCGGCAUGCCUAACACAUGCAAGUCGAACGAUUGCCUUCGGGUGAUAGUGGCGCACGGGUGCGUAACGCGUGGGAAUCUGCCCUUAGGUUCGGAAUAACAGCUGGAAACGGCUGCUAAUACCGGAUGAUAUCGCGAGAUCAAAGAUUUAUCGCCUGAGGAUGAGCCCGCGUUGGAUUAGGUAGUUGGUGGGGUAAAGGCCUACCAAGCCGACGAUCCAUAGCUGGUCUGAGAGGAUGAUCAGCCACACUGGGACUGAGACACGGACCAGACUCCUACGGGAGGCAGCAGUGGGGAAUAUUGGACAAUGGGCGCAAGCCUGAUCCAGCAAUGCCGCGUGAGUGAUGAAGGCCCUAGGGUUGUAAAGCUCUUUUACCCGGGAAGAUAAUGACUGUACCGGGAGAAUAAGCCCCGGCUAACUCCGUG